Molecule: ribosomal RNA, 1014 nt
Filed under: Triticum aestivum (bread wheat)
Lineage: Eukaryota; Viridiplantae; Streptophyta; Magnoliopsida; Poales; Poaceae
Description: partial small subunit ribosomal RNA
Source: RNAcentral
AUGGGUACCCCCUCGCAGGGCUCGGCUGCCGUGGCGGCGGCCCGGGUCGACCUCUGCGCGCUCGACCUCAUGCCCGUCUUCGCCAAGGAGAUGAUUGCCGGUGGGGUCGCCGGUGCUUUCUCCAAGACUGCCAUCGCGCCGCUCGAGCGCCUCAAGAUAUUGCUACAGACUAGAACAAAUGAGUUCAGGUCUCUCGGAGUUCUGAAAUCCUUGAAUAAACUGAGAAAACAUGAUGGCGUCUUGGGAUUUUACAAGGGAAAUGGUGCCAGUGUGUUAAGAAUUGUUCCUUAUGCUGCAUUACAUUAUAUGGCGUAUGAGCGAUACAGGUGUUGGAUCUUGGGUAACUGCCCUACACUUGGCACAGGACCUGUGGUAGAUCUUUUAGCAGGCUCAGCAUCAGGGGGGACUGCAGUCUUGUGCACUUAUCCCUUGGACUUGGCUAGGACCAAGCUUGCAUUCCAGGUUAAUAACACAGAUCAACCUAGCAAUGGUUUGAAAAGGCCAAUUGCUCCACCAUCAUAUGGAGGAAUAAAAGAUGUCUUCAGAGGUGUUUAUUCAGAAGGUGGAGUGCGAGCCCUGUAUCGUGGAGUAGGUCCAACGCUAAUGGGAAUACUUCCCUAUGCUGGUCUUAAAUUCUACAUAUACGAAGGGCUGAAGGCACACGUACCUGAAGAUUACAAAAAUUCUGUCACAUUAAAACUAUCCUGUGGUGCUGCAGCUGGUUUAUUUGGACAGACUUUAACCUACCCAUUAGAUGUAGUCAGGAGACAAAUGCAGGUUCAAAGUCAUCUGCAGCAUGAUCAGUCUGGUGGCCCACGAAUAACAGGUACAUUCCAGGGGCUUAAGAUCAUCAAACAAACACAGGGAUGGAGACAAUUAUUUGCUGGUCUGAGCCUCAAUUAUAUCAAGGUGGUACCCUCAGUGGCUAUUGGUUUCACCGCAUACGACACAAUGAAGCAUUUGCUGAAGAUACCUCCGAGAGAGAGCAUAAAGCCUGAGCAAGGUUCUGCUUGA